UGGGGAAUAUUGCACAAUGGGCGAAAGCCUGAUGCAGCAACGCCGCGUGAGUGAUGAAGGUCUUCGGAUUGUAAAGCUCUGUCUUUUGGGACGAUAAUGACGGUACCAAAGGAGGAAGCCACGGCUAACUACGUGCCAGCAGCCGCGGUAAUACGUAGGUGGCGAGCGUUGUCCGGAUUUACUGGGCGUAAAGGGUGCGUAGGCGGAUGUUUAAGUGAGAUGUGAAAUACCCGGGCUUAACUUGGGUGCUGCACUUCAAACUGGAUAUCUAGAGUGCAGGAGAGGAGAAUGGAAUUCCUAGUGUAGCGGUGAAAUGCGUAGAGAUUAGGAAAAACACCAGUGGCGAAGGCGAUUCUCUGGACUGUAACUGACGCUGAGGCACGAAAGCGUGGGUAGCAAACAGGAUUAGAUAC
This 413-nucleotide ribosomal RNA is filed under the name uncultured bacterium. RNAcentral's name for it is "partial 16S ribosomal RNA". It matches the Rfam family "Bacterial small subunit ribosomal RNA", at positions 355 to 785 of the family's 1533-position model. The record is from RNAcentral.